UACUGGCAAACCUGAAACAAGUGAAGUAGAUGUUUUGUUUUAUAGAAAAAUUUUGCUGACUCUCAUGCUUUCAGGGAUGGGCAUGAGGAGGGGCACACUGGAAGAAUUUGCAAGGUCUAUUAUAGGUAAGCCCGAUGAUGCUGUCUACAUCCUCUGCUGAAGAAGAAGAGACCUGUGCUACGGA
This 184-nucleotide long non-coding RNA is filed under the name Cairina moschata (Muscovy duck). Its description in RNAcentral is "domestica (muscovy Duck (domestic type)) lncRNA (ENSCMMG00000002154.1)". Lineage: Eukaryota; Metazoa; Chordata; Aves; Anseriformes; Anatidae. The record is from RNAcentral.